GGCACGAUGCGUAGCCGACCUGAGAGGGUGAUCGGCCACACUGGGACUGAGACACGGCCCAGACUCCUACGGGAGGCGCAGUAGGGAAUCUUCCGCAAUGGACGAAAGUCUGACGGAGCAACGCCGCGUGAGUGAUGAAGGUUUUCGGAUCGUAAAACUCUGUUGUUAGGGAAGAACAAGUCCGUUCGAACAGGGCGGUGCCUUGACGGUACCUAACCAGAAAGCCACGGCUAACUACGUGCCAGCAGCCGCGGUAAUACGUAGGUGGCAAGCGUUGUCCGGAAUUAUUGGGCGUAAGCGCGCGCAGGCGGUUUCUUAAGUCUGAUGUGAAAGCCCCCGGCUCAACCGGGGAGGGUCAUUGGAAACUGGGGAACUUGAGUGCAGAAGAGGAGAGUGGAAUUCCACGUGUAGCGGUGAAAGCGUAGAGAUGUGGAGGAACACCAGUGGCGAAGGCGACUCUCUGGUCUGUAACUGACGCUGAGGCGCGAAAGCGUGGGGAGCGAACAGGAUUAGAUACCCUGGUAUCCACGCCGUAAACGAUGAGUGCUAAGUGUUAGAGGGUUUCCGCCCUUUAGUGCUGCAGCAAACGCAUUAAGCACUCCGCCUGGGGAGUACGGUCGCAAGACUGAAACUCAAAGGAAUUGACGGGGGCCCGCACAAGCGGUGGAGCAUGUGGUUAAUUCGAAGCAACGCGAAGAACCUUACCAGGUCUUGACAUCCUCUGCACCCCUAGAGAUAGGGCUUCCCCUUCGGGGGCAGAGUGACAGGUGGUGCAUGGUUGUCGUCAGCUCGUGUCGUGAGAUGUUGGGUUAAGUCCCGCAACGGCGCAACCCUUGAUCUUAGUUGCCACAU
Molecule: ribosomal RNA, 852 nt
Filed under: Bacillus licheniformis
Lineage: Bacteria; Bacillati; Bacillota; Bacilli; Caryophanales; Bacillaceae
Description: bacterial SSU rRNA
Rfam family: Bacterial small subunit ribosomal RNA
Source: RNAcentral